UAUCCGGAUUUAUUGGGUUUAAAGGGUGCGUAGGCGGAAGUUCAAGUCAGCGGUAAAAUCGAGGGGCUCAACCCCUUUAAGCCGUUGAAACUGGGUUUCUUGAGUGGGCGAGAAGUGUGCGGAAUGUGUGGUGUAGCGGUGAAAUGCAUAGAUAUCACACAGAACUCCGAUUGCGAAGGCAGCACACCGGCGCCCAACUGACGCUGAGGCACGAAAGCGUGGGGAUCAAACAGGAUUAGAUACCCUGGUAGUCCACGCAGUAAACGAUGAACACUAGGUGUGCGGGUCGAAUGAGAUCUGCGUGCCACAGCGAAAGCGUUAAGUGUUCCACCUGGGGAGUACGCCGGCAACGGUGAAACUCAAAGGAAUUGACGGGGGCCCGCACAAGCGGAGGAACAUGUGGUUUAAUUCGAUGAUACGCGAGGAACCUUACCCGGGCUCAAACGGCAGAGGAAAGUUUUUGAAAGGAGGCUGCUCUACGGAGCCUCUGCCGAGGUGCUGCAUGGUUGUCGUCAGCUCGUGCCGUGAGGUGUCGGCUUAAGUGCCAUAACGAGCGCAACCCCUACCGCCAGUUGCCAUCAGGUAAAGCUGGGGACUCUGGCGGGACUGCCGGCGCAAGCUGUGAGGAAGGCGGGGAUGACGUCAAAUCAGCACGGCCCUUACGUCCGGGGCGACACACGUGUUACAAUGGCAGGUACAGCGGGAAGCCACCGAGCGAUCGGGAGCAGAACCCGAAAACCUGUCUCAGUUCGGAUUGGAGUCUGCAACUCGACUCCAUGAAGCUGGAUUCGCUAGUAAUCGCGCAUCAGC
This 810-nucleotide ribosomal RNA is filed under the name human gut metagenome. RNAcentral's name for it is "bacterial SSU rRNA". It matches the Rfam family "Bacterial small subunit ribosomal RNA", at positions 542 to 1353 of the family's 1533-position model. The record is from RNAcentral.